Molecule: ribosomal RNA, 429 nt
Filed under: Chloroflexota bacterium
Lineage: Bacteria; Bacillati; Chloroflexota
Description: Chloroflexi bacterium partial 16S ribosomal RNA
Rfam family: Bacterial small subunit ribosomal RNA
Source: RNAcentral
UGGGGAAUAUUGCACAAUGGGCGCAAGCCUGAUGCAGCCAUGCCGCGUGUAUGAAGAAGGCCUUCGGGUUGUAAAGUACUUUCAGUCGGGAGGAAGGUGGUAAGGUUAAUAACCUUGGCAAUUGACGUUACCGACAGAAGAAGCACCGGCUAACUCCGUGCCAGCAGCCGCGGUAAUACGGAGGGUGCAAGCGUUAAUCGGAAUUACUGGGCGUAAAGCGCACGCAGGCGGUUGAUUGAGUCAGAUGUGAAAUCCCCGGGCUUAACCCGGGAGUUGCAUCUGAUACUGGUCAGCUAGAGUCUUGUAGAGGGGGGUAGAAUUCCAUGUGUAGCGGUGAAAUGCGUAGAGAUGUGGAGGAGUACCGGUGGCGAAGGCGGCCCCCUGGACAAAGACUGACGCUCAGGUGCGAAAGCGUGGGGAGCAAACAGG